Melopsittacus undulatus (budgerigar) is the source of this 2487-nucleotide RNA transcript. It is a transcript of the gene named TRAF3 interacting protein 2, with no coding region annotated. The transcript is spliced from 10 exons. NCBI's taxonomy places the organism in Eukaryota, Metazoa, Chordata, Aves, Psittaciformes, Psittaculidae. The record is from RefSeq and is a predicted model, not a curated record.
CUACAGUUACUUAUCAGUGGGGCUCACUCAGAGGGAGCCUGGCUUCCUCGGAGAGAGGGAGCGAGCCACACGCAGGCAUGUCGAGAGAGUUUUAAGCUUCAAAGUGUCACUCCCCCCCGAGGCUCUCUCCCCACCGCCGCCACGUUGUGCCGUUGCCGUGCCGUGCCGUGCCGUGUAUGCCUCCUCCGCUUCCUGCUGCAGAGCCAGUUCUGCCGCUUACCUGGGAGAGGCAGGGAGGUGUCGUAAAAGGAAGAGAAAACACCACCCGGCCGGCUGAGGACGGAGCCCCGGGCACGCCGAGAGCGCGGCGGGGUGCGCAGGAGGCACGUCAGCCCUCUCGCUUUCCUUGGUCAGCUCAGCGUGAGCAGCCCUCGCCCACAAGUUUGCUGGAAAAUCCUGGCAUUGCAGUAAGGCAGCUGACUCUCAUUUCCGGUGUGACUACAAAACUUGGAAAUGGCUUCUGUGUCAGGCACUUCUGUGGGUCAAAGCAUACCAGUUGAAAUAGAUGAAUCCAUGCCAUGGUCCCCAUUUCCCAAACAUAUCUUGGAAAAGGCUUUGCAGUCUUCUGGAGAGGAUAAGAAGGAUGAGGAGUCCCAGAGACCAUGUGUCGCUCAAACAGCUGAGCCUGUGGCCAAUGCAUCAUGCCUCUGCAGAGCACCAGCACAUCAUCAGUCAGUGCCAUCCACAGAGCCAGGCAGCAGCUUGUGGUCCAGAUACAAUGAUCCUGAUGUAGAUGGGCACUUCUGCUCCCCUAGUGAAUCAAUAGCUGAAGUAGUUGCCUCCAGGAUGCAUCUUAUAGCUAUGGACAAAUCAGGAAUGCAGCCAAGAUCACAGCAUUCAGGUGACACUGGACACAACUCCAGUAAAUCAGAGCAAAGCUUGCCUGAUGCUCCUGAGGACUCACUGGAGGAGAGCAGCCAAUGCAGUUCACGGUCACAGCAACACUCAGGAAACAGACCCCCAGCAGAGCUGGGGACCGUGGACACAGGGUACAACUCCCAGUCACGAGACAUCAUGGGCAUCAGGCACCUGGAUCCCCCUUUACCGCUGGUGUCCAUGCUGAACCCCCAGGACCUUCCAGGACCACUGAUCUCCAGAGUGUUUUUUGGACCUGAAAAUCAGCAGUGCCCUAUGUGCCAGCGCUUGCCCCAUCCCAACACCUCCGCACAAGUUCAUGGAUGCUUUGAGCACCGCUGCCUGGAAAAGCAGCACCCCCAGGGCCCAUAUGGCAGAACGUCUUACCAACAUUACGAACAUGCAUUGCAACCGCUUCCUCCUGUUCCUGCACCUUGCAUGAGAGUUAUCCGCCCAGCCCAGAAAGUCAUCCCAAAUUACUCAGACCUUCAUGCUGCCCAAGGCACGAGAGGCCGACCACCCCAGAGGACAUGCUCCUCCCCUGGUCCUCCUCGAUUCCUAAACCAGGUAUACAACCAGGUACCUAAUGGCCAGCUGCCCCCCAAGGCAUGUGGCUCAGAUGAAGCAUGUUGUUGUCCUUGUGACAAUUUUCCAUCUCCAGCUGCCGUCCCGAGACCUCUCAGUAACCCUGCAGCCAAGGGAACUCUGAGAACCAGCAAUUUGCCGGAGGAGUUGCGCAAGGUCUUUAUAACCUAUUCGGUGGACACAGCAGUGGAGGUUAUGAAAUUUGUGAACUUCCUGCUUGUAAAUGGAUUUCAAACUGCUAUUGAUAUAUUUGAGGACACGGUACGAGGUAUUGACAUCAUUAAGUGGAUGGAGCGGUACCUAGAAGACGGUGAUGAUAAUCAUAGCAAUCAGUCCAAAAUACAAACAGGAUGUGGAAGGGGCUGAAUCCCAGCUGGACAAGGAUGAACACGGCUUACAUACUAAGUACAUCCACAGGAUGAUGCAGAUCGAGUUUAUACAACAAGGAAGCAUGAACUUCAGAUUCAUCCCUGUGCUUUUUCCAAAUGCCAGAAAGGAACACGUGCCUACCUGGCUGCAGAACACUCACAUUUAUAACUGGCCGAAGAAUAAGAAGAACAUCCUUUUGCGGUUACUGAGGGAGGAGGAAUACAUUGCUCCUCCGGUAGGACCUUUACCAACACUCCAGGUUGUGCCGUUAUGAACAUUAUUGCUUAAAGUGCACGACAAGCAGUUGUUAAAGGGUUGUUCUUGGCAGGGAGCCAGUGCUCUUCCAGAUGGCUCUUUUUGAUGACAGAAGACACUCUUUCUGCUAAAGGGAUUGGUUGUUUUGGGUGAUGGGGCAGAACUCUCUUUUCUAGAUUUUUAAGAGCUGCACAUGGAAAGAAUGCCCAGUUUUAUUUUAACAUCUGUUUUUAACAUAUUCCUUUAUUAGUCAAUAUAGCAAACAAAUGCCAGAAAUAAUGUUGCAAUAAGUGUAAAAUAAAAAUUACAUCCUUCUCUUUGCUCAGGGUUUCUUUAAAGAUAUUCCUGCCUUGUAUAGCAUUAUUGAACAGUUAAUUUGUAUUUACAUUAUUAAAUAUAUUUGCCUUUUGUAAUGCAACCUUA